CAAUAGCGUAUAUUAAAGUUGUUGCAGUUAAAAAGCUCGUAGUUGAAUUUUUGCUUGCCGCCGAUGUCGGAACUUCCGUACGUUCGGCGGCGUGCAUCCUUGGGUGGAACCUGUGUGGCAUUAGGUUGUCGUGCAGGGGAUGCUCAUCGGUUACUGUGAAAAAAUUAGAGUGUUCAAAGCAGGCUUACGCCGUUGAAUAUAUUAGCAUGGAAUAAUAAGAUAGGACCUUGGUACUAUUUUGUUGGUUUGCGCACCGAGGUAAUGAUUAACAGGGACAGUUGGGGGUAUUCGUAUUCCAUUGUCAGAGGUGAAAUUCUUGGAUUUCUGGAAGACGAACUACUGCGAAAGCAUUUACCAAGGAUGUUUUCAUUAA
RNAcentral lists this ribosomal RNA (373 nucleotides) under uncultured eukaryote. RNAcentral describes it as "partial 18S ribosomal RNA". It matches the Rfam family "Eukaryotic small subunit ribosomal RNA", at positions 592 to 976 of the family's 1831-position model. The record is from RNAcentral.